AGAUUGAACGCUGGCGGCAUGCCUUACACAUGCAAGUCGAACGGCAGCACGGGAGCAAUCCUGGUGGCGAGUGGCGAACGGGUGAGUAAUAUAUCGGAACGUGCCCAGUCGUGGGGGAUAACGCAGCGAAAGCUGUGCUAAUACCGCAUACGAUCUAUGGAUGAAAGCGGGGGACCGCAAGACCUCGCGCGAUUGGAGCGGCCGAUAUCAGAUUAGCUAGUUGGUGAGGUAAAGGCUCACCAAGGCGACGAUCUGUAGCUGGUUUGAGAGGACGACCAGCCACACUGGGACUGAGACACGGCCCAGACUCCUACGGGAGGCAGCAGUGGGGAAUUUUGGACAAUGGGGGAAACCCUGAUCCAG
Molecule: ribosomal RNA, 363 nt
Filed under: uncultured soil bacterium
Lineage: Bacteria
Description: bacterial SSU rRNA
Rfam family: Bacterial small subunit ribosomal RNA
Source: RNAcentral